AGAGUUUGAUCAUGGCUCAGGACGAACGCUGGCGGCGUGCCUAAUACAUGCAAGUCGAACGAAACUUUCUUACACCGAAUGCUUGCAUUCACCGUAAGAAGUUGAGUGGCGGACGGGUGAGUAACACGUGGGUAACCUGCCUAAAAGAAGGGGAUAACACUUGGAAACAGGUGCUAAUACCGUAUAUCUCUAAGGAUCGCAUGAUCCUUAGAUGAAAGAUGGUUUUGCUAUCGCUUUUAGAUGGACCCGCGGCGUAUUAACUAGUUGGUGGGGUAACGGCCUACCAAGGUGAUGAUACGUAGCCGAACUGAGAGGUUGAUCGGCCACAUUGGGACUGAGACACGGCCCAAACUCCUACGGGAGGCAGCAGUAGGGAAUCUUCCACAAUGGACGCAAGUCUGAUGGAGCAACGCCGCGUGAGUGAAGAAGGUCUUCGGAUCGUAAAACUCUGUUGUUAGAGAAGAACACGAGUGAGAGUAACUGUUCAUUCGAUGACGGUAUCUAACCAGCAAGUCACGGCUAACUACGUGCCAGCAGCCGCGGUAAUACGUAGGUGGCAAGCGUUGUCCGG
Molecule: ribosomal RNA, 571 nt
Filed under: uncultured bacterium
Lineage: Bacteria
Description: bacterial SSU rRNA
Rfam family: Bacterial small subunit ribosomal RNA
Source: RNAcentral